UGGCGACCGGCGCACGGGUGAGUAACACGUAUCCAACCUGCCGAUAACUCGGGGAUAGCCUUUACGAAAGAAAGAUUAAUAUCCGAUAGGAUAUCAAGAUCGCAUGAUCUUGAUAUUAAAGAAUUUCGGUUAUCGAUGGGGAUGCGUUCCAUUAGUUAGUUGGCGGGGUAACGGCCCACCAAGACGACGAUGGAUAGGGGUUCUGAGAGGAAGGUCCCCCACAUUGGAACUGAGACACGGUCCAAACUCCUACGGGAGGCAGCAG
This 265-nucleotide ribosomal RNA is filed under the name uncultured bacterium. RNAcentral's name for it is "partial 16S ribosomal RNA". It matches the Rfam family "Bacterial small subunit ribosomal RNA", at positions 89 to 354 of the family's 1533-position model. The record is from RNAcentral.